This 1199-nucleotide unclassified non-coding RNA is filed under the name Hevea brasiliensis (rubber tree). Lineage: Eukaryota; Viridiplantae; Streptophyta; Magnoliopsida; Malpighiales; Euphorbiaceae. The record is from RNAcentral.
UCUAGUUUUUUCAAUGAAUUAACUUUUUUGAGAUCUUUAGAUCUAAGCAAUUGUGACAUUGAAAAAAUCCCACCAACAAUAAGCCAAUUGAUACAUUUGAGGCAACUUGACUUGUCUUCUAAUGAUCAUCUGAAGUCGUUGCCUGAAACAUUGUGUGAAUUAUAUAAUUUGCAAACCUUAGAUGUUUAUGGUUGUAGGAAUUUGGCAAAGCUGCCCGAUGGUGUUGGAAAACUCGUUAACUUGAGACAUCUGCAUAUUCGCGGUACAGGCCCUAUUCUCAUGUCGAAAGACAUUAGGAAAUUGAGCUGUCUUAGGACAUUAGAGUGGGUCCGUGUUUGUUAUGAUAGAGAAGCAUUCUCUCUUGGGGAUCUAGAAAGUCUGGACCUUCUUCAAGGAUUGCUUAUGUUGUCGGGCCUAGAAAAUGUGGACAACAUGGAUGAGGCUAAGAAAGCACAACUCAAGAAAAAGAAAGGAAUCAACAGAAUGCAAUUAGCUUUUAAUGAAAAGGAAAGGGAAGGGAGAAUACGUCACGAUGAAGAAUUACUUGAAGUCUUAGAGCCACACACUAAUUUGGAGACUUUAGGAAUACAUGGCUAUGAAGGCAUAGUUUUUCCGGAUUGGAUCAGGUCAUUAAUUAAUUUGAAGCGUGUUAAGCUCACACUUUGUAAAAACUGUGAGAAAUUACCUCCUUUGGGAAAGUUACCAUUCCUUGAAAUCCUUGAAUUGGAAGAAAUGGAACGCCUGAAAAAGUUGGGCGUUGAGAUUUUGGGAAUAGAAACUUCAAGUCAACAAGAGAUUUCGUCAUCAGUCACCGUCUUCCCCAAAUUGACAACACUUAAAUUACGUUCCUUGAAGGAGUUGGAGGAGUGGGAUGAUGGAAUGAACAAAAAUGGAGAAGAAAAUGUUGCCAAUUUUACAAUCCUGCCAUGUCUUCGUUCUCUCCAUAUUCGGGAUUGCCCAAAGUUGAAGUUGGAGGCGUUACCAGAUUACCUUCUCCAGAAGAUUUCUGAAUUUCAAGGCUGCUUAACAAAAGAGGAAAGGAGGGAAAAGGCCAAACAAAUCUUGCAUCUCUAACCAUCAAAUAUUGGUAAUGAGCAUGUGCAAAGGUGAGACACCAACAGAUUCCACGGGAUUAGGGCAAAUGGGCAAAAUCUCCUUGGUCAAUCAAAGCAAUUGCGUCUUCAUGUGCAAAUCCUUCA